ACAGACCAAUACUCUUCCAUCCAAUCCACCCCAACCCAAAUCAGUUUCCCCUAAUCCAAACAUAUUCGCCACCUGUUUGAAGAAUUGCCCCAGAGAGAAAGAAUCGCUUAAUCCUGAUCAAAAUUGCAAUCUUUAUUCACCAUACGAAGAAAAAAGGGAAUAAAAUAUGUCUAGCAUCUAUUCGAUUUCCUCUGCGAAUCAAUCUCCGGCGAGAUCAAGUGAUCAGAAAAUCACGCAGUGCACGGUGAGCUGCGUGUAUCAGACGCACAUUGCCGGAUACUGGCGCAAUGUGACUGUGGUGUGGAGCAAGAACAUCAUGAUGAACUCGUUGCGGAUUUCUGUGGAAAGCGUUGAGCGUGAUCAAGUUUGCACGUGCAAGCUCGAGCUUAAACCUUGGCAUUUUUGGUCAAGAAAAGGCAACAAAAGUUUCAUGGUUGAUGGGAAUCAGCUCGAGCUCUACUGGGAUUUCCGAUCGGCCACAUUCUCUGGUCCAGAGCCGAGUAAAGACUUCUACGUGGCAUUGGUUUUCGGUGAGGAGAUUGUGCUGUUGCUCGGUGACAUGGAGAAGAAGGCGUAUAAGACGACGAAAGCUCGAGCUGCAAUGGUCGAGGCUCUGAUGUUUUACAAGGAGGAGCAUGUGUUUGGCAAGAAGUCGUUCUCCACGAGGGUGAGGUUCGAUCAGGGCAGGGAGCACGAUGUGGUGGUGGAGAGCUCGACUGCGGGGGACAAGGAUCCAGAGAUGUGGAUUAGCGUUGAUGGGAUUGUGUUGGUACACAUUAGGAACUUGCAGUGGAAAUUCAGGGGCAACCAGACUGUGGUAGUGAAUAAUCAGCCUGUGCAGGUCUUCUGGGACGUGCACGCAUGGCUGUUCUGCUUGCCUGGGAUGGGCCACGGCCUCUUCAUCUUCAAGGCCGGGGGCGAGGGGGACAGUGAGGGGGAUGACGACACUCAGUGUGAUGGGAGUGACUGCAGCGGCCCCAGCAGGUACUCCUCUGCGAGGAGCUACUCAAAGUCCGUGGAGACGUGCUUCUUUCUGUAUGCGUGGAAGAUUGAGUGAGGGAGGAAAAAAGGCUUAAAAGAGGUAAGGGGGUGUAAAGGCAAAGUGGUGUAAUCUUGUGAGGUUUGUUAGGAUUAAUACGUUCAACCAAAGACUAACCGGCUGAUCUUUCAUGGGGAAACUCUAUAUGCAAACAAGGCUGCUCCCCUCUUUAAGAAUACUCCAAUUUUUUGUUCCUGAUAUUAAUACACCAAUUUUUAUUCUAUAGUCCAUGAUAAACAACUAACUCUACCUUGUAUCUGCUCCAUAUGACGGCUCCCUGUACAAGAAGUUUUGCAGCUACAGAACUAUGUAACAAAAGAUCCCUACCCAUUUGUUUGUACCAGGCAAGUUAGAAAUGUAAAUAAACUUCAAACAUUUUGCAUUUGUGAAAAAGACUGCAUUUUGGAUACCAUUUCAUUCACCAUACAGUGCUAGCCCAUCUUUAUUAAUGCCCUCUUCUUCAUCAUUUCAUCUA
Molecule: RNA transcript, 1514 nt
Organism: Salvia splendens (bonfire salvia)
Lineage: Eukaryota; Viridiplantae; Streptophyta; Magnoliopsida; Lamiales; Lamiaceae
Exons: 2
Source: RefSeq, a predicted model, not a curated record